Molecule: transfer-messenger RNA, 343 nt
Filed under: Clostridiales bacterium
Lineage: Bacteria; Bacillati; Bacillota; Clostridia; Eubacteriales
Rfam family: transfer-messenger RNA
About the family: Bacterial tmRNA, also known as 10Sa RNA or SsrA, is named for its dual tRNA and mRNA-like properties. Its role is to liberate the mRNA from a stalled ribosome.
Source: RNAcentral
GGGGGCGUAAAGGUUUCGACGGGGGUAUUUUAAAAAUGAGUGGCAAGUGGUGACGGGUUUACACCUAAAAAAGCCCAAAAUCAAAUUAAACGCUAACGAUAAUUUAGCUUACGCAGCCUAGGGCUGCCGUCCCGCGCGUGAGGACCACGGCAUGAGCAGGGGCGUCAAACAGUGGUGAACGUGAGGCGGAUAAGCUUUGCCCCGCCCAUGAACAAUGAAGCUACCGGCGUGCGAAUGUUUGUUUGUGGACACCGCAUGCAGGAAAAAAUGACCACAAACUAAACUUGUAGAAGCUCAUUUUGCGUACUUUCGGACGCGGGUUCAACUCCCGCCGCCUCCACCA